This 1026-nucleotide long non-coding RNA is filed under the name Callithrix jacchus (white-tufted-ear marmoset). Its description in RNAcentral is "lncRNA (ENSCJAG00000082277.1)". Lineage: Eukaryota; Metazoa; Chordata; Mammalia; Primates; Cebidae. The record is from RNAcentral.
CAAUAUAUUUCUGAAUAUUGUUUCUGUUUCCUAAGAGCACAAUGUAUAUGGACGUAGGGAGCUGUGGUCCCAAGUGUCACUGGAAUUUAUAUUUUAGGAAUAGGCUUUGCAUGUUAAAAUUCACAAGUUGGGAAACUGUGGUAUGAACAGAUCUGAUUUCCCACAGAGACAAGAAGGAAUAGGUGGGACUUAGCUUGGGGUGGCAGGAGAUGAAAGAGGGAGAAUGGGAGAGUUGGGGUCUGACAGUUACCACCUGAGCCCCAGGAAAACUGUUUUCACAGCUGUGUCACUGGGGGCCUGCUUUCCUCAAAGGAAAUGACUGUUCAGAGGUGAGGCCUUGUGUUGGCAAGGCGUUUUCAUUUUAAGAGUGUUCCCCCAGCCAAGGAGACAGCAGGGGCCCUGCUCUUUUGUGGGCUGUUUCCCUCAGUAAAACCAGCUGCCAGCUUGAGAAGCGUGUCUUUCCAAAGUACAGGCAGAUCUGAGGGGCUCCAGGCACCUGGGAGGUAGAUCACAAAGCAAACUUGGGUCUCCUUGGCAUCAGGGAGGAGGCAGAGUUUGGACUGACACAGCUGCAAGCCAAGAAAAGCCCAGAGCUGCUGCAACACGAGGAGCCAGACAAGGCCUGGAGCAGAGGCAACCUCAGAGCCCCCAGGAGAGACCAACCCUGCUGACACUGAUUUCAGAGCCCCCAGCUCCAGAACCGUAAGUGAAUACAUUUCUGACAUCUUAAGCUACCUAGUUGGCAGUAAUUUGUCAGGACAACCUUAUUGCAUGGCUGGGUGAAAGGAUGGGAUGUAGGGUCCAGCCCAGGGUGGGAGAUGGUUGCUAAGAGAGAGGAAGUCCAGUGUAACCAGGAAACAUAUAGGUUUUAUAUCCAUUCUGCCCCAAAAAUCUGAGCCAGCAGGCAUGACAGACAGUAUUCAAAGAUCAUGCUGCAAGUGUCUAAGCAUAAAGUCUUUGUUCUUGCUUGGCUAAUUAAAAACAAAACUGUUUUCUCCUUAAGGCAAAAAGAAAUCUAAAUAAUAC